Molecule: ribosomal RNA, 189 nt
Filed under: uncultured bacterium
Lineage: Bacteria
Description: partial 16S ribosomal RNA
Rfam family: Bacterial small subunit ribosomal RNA
Source: RNAcentral
CCUACGGGAGGCAGCAGUAAGGAAUAUUGGUCAAUGGAGGGAACUCUGAACCAGCCAUGCCGUGUGCAGGAUGACUGCCCUAUGGGUUGUAAACUGCUUUUGUACAGGAAGAAACCUCUCUACGUGUAGAGACUUGACGGUACUGUAAGAAUAAGGAUCGGCUAACUCCGUGCCAGCAGCCGCGGUAAU